Long non-coding RNA from Xiphophorus maculatus (southern platyfish), 2688 nucleotides. RefSeq lists it as uncharacterized. The record is from RefSeq and is a predicted model, not a curated record. Lineage: Eukaryota; Metazoa; Chordata; Actinopteri; Cyprinodontiformes; Poeciliidae. The transcript has 2 exons.
GAAGGGAUGGGAAGGUCAGCCCAGAGGUCAGCGGACAUGGUUGUUUUCACACCCACUUUACAGCCGUGUCUGCAUUCCUGUCCUGAACCAGGAUGAGAGCAGUUCAGGAGUGUGACUGAAAAAUUGCCAAGAUGAGCCUGCACUUUUAGAUUCUUCAUGGGGCCUUUAUGUAUCACCUCCACAGGAGAUGAGUGAUGAAAAUGGAAGGUAAGCGUGGAAGAUGGCCAAAUAAAACAGGAGGAAAUGAAGAAACUUUGAUUUUCACAUGUAUCACAAUUUGUGCUGUAAAAUGCUGCACGUGUAUGAGGGCGAACAUGCUUCCAUAAAAAUACAUCUGGUGUCCAUCAGACACUUUAUUUUUCCUGAGGUCAGGGUCCGCAGGAUAUUUAAUAUUUCCACCAAAGAAUCCAGAUGACAAGGUAAUGUCUUGGACUGAGACAAAGGCUCAUAAAAUUACUCGUAUUAUGCAUGUCUCUUGGGGUCCAGAAGAAAAAUGACAGUAAUAAUUUCAAACAGCAUGAAACAUGACAUAGUCACAGUGCCGAUAAUACAUUUCUUUACAAGUUUUUUCACAUUCUUCCUGCCUGAAGGAACACUACUCAUUUUAUUUUAUCCAGCCGUAUUUGCUCUACAGAAGAUUUGUAACCUGCAUGGGACUAAAUACAUUUUGUGUAGAGGGACCUCAUUAAAAGGUCUCCCUUGACAUCACUCAGGGUCACAAUCCCAAAGUGAACAGAUAAAUAGCAUCAAAAGAUAUAUGAGCAUAAAUGUGACUUGAUUUGUUCAAUUCUGCUACACUGCAAGUUCAUUCUCCAUUUUUAAAACAUAAUUCUGACAUGUACACAAACAGGUUUUAGUACUACAUGUCACUGGUUUCGGGAUUAAGAAACAACAAAAACCAGCAACUUUCGCCACAUUGUGUAUGUGGAAACCUUAUAGGAUGCUAACUUUGGGUUUCCGGGUUCUUUUUCCAACUUCUUGGGAUACUUCUGACAAGGUAGCUGAAAUAUAUGACUUGAGCAUACAAAGAGAGAGUUUCAUUAGUCUCUUCCACUUACACCACAGGUAAAACUGAGCAUGGACAUGGAGGGAUCAGUCCGCUUCUUAUGUUUAAGAAUCACAGCAUCUUAUUGAACCUUUAGUCAGGUGUUGUAUUGCACAAACAACUUGGUUUCUUUCUAGACUGGAUUCUUUUUUUUCUUUAUGUUACCUCUACAAUGAGAACUUGCCUUGAACAAAAUACAUAUCAGUUAUAGCUUUUAAACUAUUUCCAGCUAUAAUGUGAGUUCUCUUUUCUCUUUUCUUUCAUGCAUAUUAAUUCAGUUAUUUUCUAUUUUCCACCCAUGUAGAAACAUUGCAUGCUGACAGACCUGAGGAAGAGUAAUCUGUUGCUGAAUUAUAGACAUUGACAAAGGAGAGAUUUCAGACAGUCUCCCUGAGCCUGUAAAACAAUGGCACAUCAGACACGCCACGUCAAGUCAUGUUUCUUCUGUUAUUAAGCAGAAUCAGCUGUGGCUUCCCCUCCUGAAAACUCUGUGGGUCCUAUAAAUCUUGUGUGACAGUUCAGUUCAAAAGUCGUUGCCCUAAAAGGAGUAUAUAUUUGUGAAAGCGUGUGGGUUUUCUCCCAUUCAAGGGUCUGCUAUGGCAGACCAGCACUAGCUAGAUGAAGGAGAUGAGAAAAUGGAGAGGGACAGAGAAUGAGGCAAUAUAUAUGGAAGAUGUGGACACAGUUUGAUUCUGAGAGAACAGAUCCUCUUUGAUAGUCUCACAUCAUAAAUUAAACAUGUGCAUCUUAAUAACUGGAUGGGAAAAAGAACUGCAUCCUGAGUGGGGUCUCUGGUGCUUUCUGAAGUCAUGGUGACUCACAAGGUCCACCUCUCACAAGGGCAGAGCUCACGACUGCAACAAGGCCUGCUUCCGCAUACCGCGGCUGUGGCUGAAUAACAGAAGACAGAUUUAAGAGGGAUUGAGAAGUCAUUGUUUUGGUCAAGCUGAUAACACCUUAAGGUUAUUGUCACGGAGGAGCCGUCACGAGCUGGGACUUAGAGUCCGUGUCAGCAUACCCGCACAACCGCGCACACACGCCGACAAACACAUACAUAAUCACUAACUUACUUUUGUUGCAGUUUGGACUGGGGCGGUUCAUCGUGGGUGCACACGCGGUGUUCCUGCUUCAGUUAAACAUUCAUUCUAACUUAUUUUUAGCAUUAAACGUUUUCCCGGUUUUGUUUUCAAGUAGGGUGUUUCCGGAUUGUGGCGUGCCGGGAGAGAGUCACAUGAGGAGGUGAUGUCAUCAGAGCGCACUGGGUGUUGUCUAUUAAAUUGAGUAUUGUAUUUUGUUUACAAGUUUAUUUAUUUAUUUUUUCUAUUAUUAUUAUUUUGUAUACUUUACAAACUUCAAACUGAUUUGAAGUUUGAUUCAAAUCAGAAUCAAACUUCUGAUUUGAGUUAGAAAUAAUUAGUAUUUUUGCUAGUUUGGAUUGUCUGUGGGCGGAGCCUGUGGCUUUAAAAGCAGGGCUCUGCUCCACAGGAGGCAGUCUGUGGUUAGACUCCUGAAGAAGUCAUGCUGGAGGUGAUGGACUAUUGCAAGUCAAGGUACUAAUGAUUAUUUAACCUGCUCUGGAUGUCCUUUUUGUGUGAUCUGCACCUGCCAUCUUUGUGAGAGCUGAAUAAAUCCUCUUAAACGAU